AGCACUUUUUGACUUACUGAAUGACGAGGACCACCUUCUGAAAAAGAGGAAAUUUAGAAAAUCACGGUCAAGAAGGAGAAGAAGGCGGACCUCCAGGAAACCAUCAGCAUGGUCAAGACGGAGAAGACGGCGGACCUCCAGGAAACCAUCAGCAUGGUCAAGAUGGAGAAGAAGGCGGACCUCCAGGAAACCAUCAG
Long non-coding RNA from Protopterus annectens (West African lungfish), 197 nucleotides. RefSeq lists it as uncharacterized. The record is from RefSeq and is a predicted model, not a curated record. Lineage: Eukaryota; Metazoa; Chordata; Ceratodontiformes; Protopteridae. The transcript has 5 exons.